This 1474-nucleotide ribosomal RNA is filed under the name Escherichia coli. RNAcentral's name for it is "partial 23S ribosomal RNA". It matches the Rfam family "Bacterial large subunit ribosomal RNA", at positions 410 to 1869 of the family's 2925-position model. Lineage: Bacteria; Pseudomonadati; Pseudomonadota; Gammaproteobacteria; Enterobacterales; Enterobacteriaceae. The record is from RNAcentral.
GAGUAGGGCGGGACACGUGGUAUCCUGUCUGAAUAUGGGGGGACCAUCCUCCAAGGCUAAAUACUCCUGACUGACCGAUAGUGAACCAGUACCGUGAGGGAAAGGCGAAAAGAACCCCGGCGAGGGGAGUGAAAAAGAACCUGAAACCGUGUACGUACAAGCAGUGGGAGCACGCUUAGGCGUGUGACUGCGUACCUUUUGUAUAAUGGGUCAGCGACUUAUAUUCUGUAGCAAGGUUAACCGAAUAGGGGAGCCGAAGGGAAACCGAGUCUUAACUGGGCGUUAAGUUGCAGGGUAUAGACCCGAAACCCGGUGAUCUAGCCAUGGGCAGGUUGAAGGUUGGGUAACACUAACUGGAGGACCGAACCGACUAAUGUUGAAAAAUUAGCGGAUGACUUGUGGCUGGGGGUGAAAGGCCAAUCAAACCGGGAGAUAGCUGGUUCUCCCCGAAAGCUAUUUAGGUAGCGCCUCGUGAAUUCAUCUCCGGGGGUAGAGCACUGUUUCGGCAAGGGGGUCAUCCCGACUUACCAACCCGAUGCAAACUGCGAAUACCGGAGAAUGUUAUCACGGGAGACACACGGCGGGUGCUAACGUCCGUCGUGAAGAGGGAAACAACCCAGACCGCCAGCUAAGGUCCCAAAGUCAUGGUUAAGUGGGAAACGAUGUGGGAAGGCCCAGACAGCCAGGAUGUUGGCUUAGAAGCAGCCAUCAUUUAAAGAAAGCGUAAUAGCUCACUGGUCGAGUCGGCCUGCGCGGAAGAUGUAACGGGGCUAAACCAUGCACCGAAGCUGCGGCAGCGACGCUGAUGCGUUGUUGGGUAGGGGAGCGUUCUGUAAGCCUGUGAAGGUGUGCUGUGAGGCAUGCUGGAGGUAUCAGAAGUGCGAAUGCUGACAUAAGUAACGAUAAAGCGGGUGAAAAGCCCGCUCGCCGGAAGACCAAGGGUUCCUGUCCAACGUUAAUCGGGGCAGGGUGAGUCGACCCCUAAGGCGAGGCCGAAAGGCGUAGUCGAUGGGAAACAGGUUAAUAUUCCUGUACUUGGUGUUACUGCGAAGGGGGGACGGAGAAGGCUAUGUUGGCCGGGCGACGGUUGUCCCGGUUUAAGCGUGUAGGCUGGUUUUCCAGGCAAAUCCGGAAAAUCAAGGCUGAGGCGUGAUGACGAGGCACUACGGUGCUGAAGCAACAAAUGCCCUGCUUCCAGGAAAAGCCUCUAAGCAUCAGGUAACAUCAAAUCGUACCCCAAACCGACACAGGUGGUCAGGUAGAGAAUACCAAGGCGCUUGAGAGAACUCGGGUGAAGGAACUAGGCAAAAUGGUGCCGUAACUUCGGGAGAAGGCACGCUGAUAUGUAGGUGAAGUCCCUCGCGGAUGGAGCUGAAAUCAGUCGAAGAUACCAGCUGGCUGCAACUGUUUAUUAAAAACACAGCACUGUGCAAACACGAAAGUGGACGUAUACGGUGUGACGCCUGCCCGGUGC